CCAGCUCUACCCGUGAUGGACCCAGGCUACUUCAAGAGAUACAAAAGACUUAAUCUAUCUACUUUUACAAGGGCAUUUACAUUUGAAAAAGCUGAAUACAGGUUAGUAGAGACAAUGAAGACCUUCACAACUCUUGGAGUAGUUCCCAAAUAAAAGGUCAUUCUUGCCACUUACAUGCUCGUAGGUGAGGCAAAGCAUUGGUGGUAACUGAAGUAAGCCACACUACUCACUCCAGUCACCUGGGAAUAGUUCCUGACAGCUUUUAAUGCUGAGUACCUUCCAGAACACCUCCAACAUUUGAAAUAGAUAGAGUUUACACACCUGGUUCAAGGGAUCUGUCA
This 341-nucleotide long non-coding RNA is filed under the name Carica papaya (papaya). RNAcentral's name for it is "long non-coding RNA (CPAP_LNC008257)". Lineage: Eukaryota; Viridiplantae; Streptophyta; Magnoliopsida; Brassicales; Caricaceae. The record is from RNAcentral.